Molecule: ribosomal RNA, 766 nt
Filed under: uncultured Russula
Lineage: Eukaryota; Fungi; Basidiomycota; Agaricomycetes; Russulales; Russulaceae
Description: partial 28S ribosomal RNA
Rfam family: Eukaryotic large subunit ribosomal RNA
Source: RNAcentral
GAAUCCCGUCUUUGGCAUGGAUGACCGGGGCUUUUGUGAUGCGCUCUCGAAGAGUCGAGUUGUUUGGGAAUGCAGCUCAAAAUGGGUGGUGAACUCCAUCUAAAGCUAAAUAUUGGCGAGAGACCGAUAGCGAACAAGUACCGUGAGGGAAAGAUGAAAAGCACUUUGGAAAGAGAGUGAAACAGUACGUGAAAUUGUUGAAAGGGAAACGCUUGAAGUCAGUCGCGUCGGCCGAGACUCAGCCUUGCCUCGGCUUGGUGUACUUCUUGACCGACGGGUCAGCAUCAAUUUUGCCCCUUGGAUAAUGGCGAGGGAAAUGUGACACCUUUAUAGGUGUGUUAUAGUCUCUCGUCGCAUGCAAGGGUCGGGAUUGAGGAACUCAGCACGCGCCUUCGGGCGUCGGGGCCUUGCCCACGAUACGUGCUUAGGAUGUUGGCGUAAUGGCUUUAAACGACCCGUCUUGAAACACGGACCAAGGAGUCUAACAUGCCCGCGAGUGUUCGGGUGGAAAACCCGUGCGCGUAAUGAAAGUAAAAGUUGGGACCCCUGUCGUGGGGGGCACCGACGCCCGGACCAGACCUUCUGUGACGGAUCUGCGGUAGAGCGUGCAUGUUGGGACCCGAAAGAUGGUGAACUAUGCCUGAAUAGGGUGAAGCCAGAGGAAACUCUGGUGGAGGCUCGUAGCGAUUCUGACGUGCAAAUCGAUCGUCAAAUUUGGGUAUAGGGGCGAAAGACUAAUCGAACCAUCUAGUAGCUGGUUCCUGCC